RNAcentral lists this ribosomal RNA (465 nucleotides) under Vreelandella stevensii. RNAcentral describes it as "partial 16S ribosomal RNA". It matches the Rfam family "Bacterial small subunit ribosomal RNA", at positions 338 to 795 of the family's 1533-position model. The record is from RNAcentral. Lineage: Bacteria; Pseudomonadati; Pseudomonadota; Gammaproteobacteria; Oceanospirillales; Halomonadaceae.
CCUAUGGGUGGCUGCAGUGGGGAAUAUUGGACAAUGGGGGGAACCCUGAUCCAGCCAUGCCGCGUGUGUGAAGAAGGCCCUCGGGUUGUAAAGCACUUUCAGUGAGGAAGAACGCCUGGUGGUUAAUACCCAUCAGGAAAGACAUCACUCACAGAAGAAGCACCGGCUAACUCCGUGCCAGCAGCCGCGGUAAUACGGAGGGUGCGAGCGUUAAUCGGAAUUACUGGGCGUAAAGCGCGCGUAGGUGGCUUGAUAAGCCGGUUGUGAAAGCCCCGGGCUCAACCUGGGAACGGCAUCCGGAACUGUCAAGCUAGAGUGCAGGAGAGGAAGGUAGAAUUCCCGGUGUAGCGGUGAAAUGCGUAGAGAUCGGGAGGAAUACCAGUGGCGAAGGCGGCCUUCUGGACUGACACUGACACUGAGGUGCGAAAGCGUGGGUAGCAAACAGGAUUAGAUACCCUUGUAGUC